Molecule: non-coding RNA, 911 nt
Organism: Poecilia reticulata (guppy)
Lineage: Eukaryota; Metazoa; Chordata; Actinopteri; Cyprinodontiformes; Poeciliidae
Source: RefSeq, a predicted model, not a curated record
AGGAAAGCGGCUUCAGUUUUAAUGCAGCUCUGAGCCGAAAUGCAAACAUGCCUGCGAGAAACAGGCAGAAGUUUUUCCACCCCAAGCUCAACAGAACGGAGCGUGCUCUGCAGGGCCCGCAGCGUGUGCACCUUCUCGUUGAUGACCGGGUUCUUGUUGCGCCGGAUGAACGACUUCCUGAAGUGGUCCUGCGUGAACGGCUGCUCAUGGCCAAUCAGAGAAACGCCUCCUUCCUUCAGGAGAAAGAGAAUCAAUUAAGGCCAACAGCAGGGGGCAGUGUGCGUCUGCACCCAAAACAAUAUGAUCAAACGCUGCUGUGAGUGAAUAAAAUAAGCUUACUUGCUCAGGUCGGAGGCGGAGUCAACGGCGAAGAAGAAGUUCUGAAAUUUCUGAUGGGUCAUUUGGAAAACGCUGCAGAACAAAGAUGAAACACACAAAUCCUAAUUAUUUUCCUCUAGCCAGCCGUCACAGUCGGGAUGAUCCAAAUCCCGGCAGGAGACUCGGCGCCGGCUCAGAGCUGUCGACAUUCCUGGGAAUCCACCACAAAUGCAACAGGAAAAAUGAGAGUUAAAACGGAGGCUUCUUGGAUGCAGAGCAGGAUCAAAGUAGGAAGUUCAAACCGUCUCUGCUCAGCUUUCUAACCAUGAGACCAGGCAGAGGUUUAAAGAAGAGUGGCAAAAGCAAAUGAGGUGGAUUAGCAGAGUUUGUCAACAACUGGUGGUGUUGCUGUGACAUAUCAUCUGUGCUGCUGUUAGCAUGUCAUCACAGUCAUGAAAAGACAUUCGUACAGCAACAGUCUUCAGUCAGAGGCCAAGACUGACUGCUACUGGAGCUCCUGUAUGACCACAGCAUCAAAAUCCACGACUCUUUGAAGAUUUAAAUAUGAAUUAUGAUGAUAUUUAAUUUCUCUU